GUUUGGGAUGUAUGGAUGUACGUACAAGUAAGGGACGUACAUACUUAUAGAAAAAAACAAGGAUACAACUCAUUAUGGUGGGGGCAUAACAAUAGUAGUAUGACCUCAGGAAUAAAAAGUUUAUAUACACUAGAUUCAUACAAUGUUGAUCUGAGGUGCUUAUAACCCUACAACACGUUUUAGUUUCUGCUGUGUAAUCACCAUUGAGGCAAUGUUAUUUGAAUUUUUUGUUUUGAGCCAUUUAUUUGAUAUACUAGUAAUCAUUGCAUCAGUCUUAGGACGACACAUUGUUAAUUAUACAUGUAGGUCAAUCUUAAGAAUUUUACUGCCCCAGGAAUAAAGUGUGAGGAUAAAAAGUUCUGGAUCCGCUACUGCAUUGUUAAGCACUAAGAAAGUCAGUUUGCUAGUACAAUGUACAUGGCCCGUGACAAAUGUUAUUAAAUCAUUUUUUACAGCACUUGUCUUUAGCUUGAUCUCGGUCUUGAUACACUGAACUAUAAUAUUCUAAGAAGUAGAUGAUGACUCGGUUGCUUUUAAAUUAUACUGAUGCUAUGAUACUUAUUGUCAUUAAAACGUUUUUUUGAUGUCUGUUGUCAGUUUGAUGCACUUGAGCAUGCUGAACAAGUGAAGGUCCUCA
RNAcentral lists this long non-coding RNA (637 nucleotides) under Mytilus galloprovincialis (Mediterranean mussel). Lineage: Eukaryota; Metazoa; Mollusca; Bivalvia; Mytilida; Mytilidae. The record is from RNAcentral.